Daphnia pulex (common water flea) is the source of this 422-nucleotide long non-coding RNA. RefSeq lists it as uncharacterized. The transcript has 2 exons. The record is from RefSeq and is a predicted model, not a curated record. NCBI's taxonomy places the organism in Eukaryota, Metazoa, Arthropoda, Branchiopoda, Diplostraca, Daphniidae.
CUUGUACCCGGUUCUCUUCUUAUUACACGGACUUGAUACAGACUUCUUUCCAUUUUUAACCUUCAAUUUCUAAUUGCAGAUUCUUUUAUGUAGUCGAUGCUUUCCUUCUCAGCACCCACUCUCGAGGCAAAGUUUUGAUGGUGCAGUGCACGCACGUUAAAUUGAACAAACAACACACGAAGAAAUUAAACAUGAAUUUUGACAAAUUGGUUAAGUUGUUCCAAGUUAUUAAGUUAAAAGUUUAAAUUUUUUAAGGCGACUGUUUAUUCAAAAUCUUCCUCAUCGCUCAUACAUUCAAUUGGAAUACGUUGAAUGUUCAUGAUUGCAUCAUGUUUCUCCAAUUCAUGUUUAAGAAUCUCGUCGACAAUAGAAUCUCCCACACUUGAACCUAUUAGAACAAUAGAAAAUGCAAUGAUAACUCA